UUUGCCUAGGUGGACAAUUGGGUUGUUUUUUAUUUAUUCGCUUUCUUCUUCUCGAUGCAAAACUUCUCACUGUGAAAAAUUUAGGGGUUUAGGGUUUACAAUGUGUUUUGAUUUAUGCCAAAUUCCUCAGAUGUAGCUUGAAGGAGGAUCAAAUUACUGCUUCCAAUCGUAAAUCGGUUGCUCCACCGUCGUUGAAGAUUCCAGGAACUCAGGUCAUUCUCCACCAAGCUCUCUCUCGAUUCCAUUUUCGAAUUGCUUCGAUGUUCUAUAUUUUCGAAGAUCCGUUCAGAUCAGAUGUUUAAUUGAAUCGAUUUGGAUAGCAGAGCUCAAGGACGAGGAAGGAUUGCUCGUAUUCACAGGAGACUACUUGUCAUUGAAACUGAAAAGAGAAUUAUGCAAUAUCAGAGCUAUAUUGAAGAAGGACGUGAUAAGGAUGCAGAAACCGUAUUUGGUUUGCUAAUAUACAGCCUUGAACGUUUGUAUCGGGUUGUCGAGAAACCUGCAAGAGCAACCGACGACUGGGAUUUAGUGAAACAAGAUCUUAUUGAGUUAGGAAGGCCACAGCAUCAAACAUCAUACAAGCUAAUGGUAACUUAUUUUAUGAAAAUAGAAGCCUGCUGCAGAUUCACGCUCCAUUGCUGGACAACAGUGCUCUUUCGAUCAAACGUAGCAAGAACAGUGGAGAGUUAUUACUGAUCGAAUUCUCUGCCUGAACUUUAGAAAUAAAGAGAAACUAAGAUUUGUUACACACAACAUCAGAUUUAAAACCAGAGAGAGACUUGACAUGGUAAAACUGGAAAAACAAAACAGAUAAAACGGCGGAGAAAGAAAGGUUUUAGCUCAUUAUUUCCUCAAUUAAAGAUAGGCAUCGCAUUAGAAAUUCGGGCCGAUAAAAUUUGGGUUAAGUACUUAUUUUUGUAAUAUUUUAUCCCAAAUCAAGUAUUUUAUAAUUUAGUCCAAGAGUUAAUUUAAAAAAUAGAUAGGCGGCAUAGGCCAAGUGUAAAUUAACCAUCGUUGUAGGAGUGGUUAAAGCAUACCUGUGUGAUCAAGUUUCGAUAAGACCAGGGAUGUUCAUUGUUUCCACUUGGUGUGAUGCAUGGUAAUACAAAUUAAACAUUUCUCA
Molecule: long non-coding RNA, 1123 nt
Organism: Arabidopsis lyrata subsp. lyrata
Lineage: Eukaryota; Viridiplantae; Streptophyta; Magnoliopsida; Brassicales; Brassicaceae
Exons: 4
Source: RefSeq, a predicted model, not a curated record